Molecule: ribosomal RNA, 406 nt
Filed under: uncultured rumen bacterium
Lineage: Bacteria
Description: bacterial SSU rRNA
Rfam family: Bacterial small subunit ribosomal RNA
Source: RNAcentral
GUGGGGGAUAUUGCACAAUGGGGGAAACCCUGAUGCAGCGACGCCGCGUGAGCGAUUGAAGUAUUUCGGUAUGUAAAGCUCUAUCAGCAGGGAAGAAAAUGACGGUACCUGACUAAGAAGCUCCGGCUAAAUACGUGCCAGCAGCCGCGGUAAUACGUAUGGAGCAAGCGUUAUCCGGAUUUACUGGGUGUAAAGGGAGCGUAGACGGUGUGCCAAGUCUGAUGUGAAAGGUGUGGGCUCAACCCGCAAACUGCAUUGGAAACUGGUGUACUUGAGUGUCGGAGAGGUAAGUGGAAUUCCUAGUGUAGCGGUGAAAUGCGUAGAUAUUAGGAGGAACACCAGCGGCGAAGGCGGCUUACUGGACGAUAACUGACGUUGAGGCUCGAAAGCGUGGGGAGCAAACAGG